RNAcentral lists this ribosomal RNA (1119 nucleotides) under Pyrenophora catenaria. Its description in RNAcentral is "eukaryotic LSU rRNA". The stretch from base 533 to 1119 matches the Rfam family "Eukaryotic large subunit ribosomal RNA", at positions 1 to 592 of the family's 3401-position model. The record is from RNAcentral. Lineage: Eukaryota; Fungi; Ascomycota; Dothideomycetes; Pleosporales; Pleosporaceae.
CGUAGGUGACUGCGGAGGGAUCAUUACCCAAAUAUGAAGGCCGAUGGGGCAAAUCCUUUGUUGGGUAUGCCCUGUUUGGCGCCAUAUUCACCCAUGUCUUUUUGCGUACUACUUGUUUCCUUGGUGGGUUCGCCCGCCACUAGGACCUUUACUCAACCCUUUUUUGUGCAAUUGCCAUCAGCGUCAGCAAAACAAUGUAAUCAAUUUACAACUUUCAACAACGGAUCUCUUGGUUCUGGCAUCGAUGAAGAACGCAGCGAAAUGCGAUAAGUAGUGUGAAUUGCAGAAUUCAGUGAAUCAUCGAAUCUUUGAACGCACAUUGCGCCCUUUGGUAUUCCAAAGGGCAUGCCUGUUCGAGCGUCAUUUGUACCCUCAAGCUUUGCUUGGUGUUGGGCGUUUCUUGUCUUGGGGUCCGCCCCGGGACUCGCCUUAAAAUCAUUGGCAGCCGGCCUACUGGUUUCGGAGCGCAGCACAUUUUUGCGCUCUUGUCCAGCCACGGUCGCGCAUCCAUGAAGUACGUUUUUUUCACGUUUGACCUCGGAUCAGGUAGGGAUACCCGCUGAACUUAAGCAUAUCAAUAAGCGGAGGAAAAGAAACCAACAGGGAUUGCCCUAGUAACGGCGAGUGAAGCGGCAACAGCUCAAAUUUGAAAUCUGGCUCUUUUAGGGUCCGAGUUGUAAUUUGCAGAGGGCGCUUUGGCUUUGGCAGCGGUCCAAGUUCCUUGGAACAGGACGUCACAGAGGGUGAGAAUCCCGUACGUGGUCGCUAGCUAUUGCCGUGUAAAGCCCCUUCGACGAGUCGAGUUGUUUGGGAAUGCAGCUCUAAAUGGGAGGUAAAUUUCUUCUAAAGCUAAAUACUGGCCAGAGACCGAUAGCGCACAAGUAGAGUGAUCGAAAGAUGAAAAGCACUUUGGAAAGAGAGUCAAACAGCACGUGAAAUUGUUGAAAGGGAAGCGCUUGCAGCCAGACUUGCUUGCAGUUGCUCAUCCGGGCUUUUGCCCGGUGCACUCUUCUGCAGGCAGGCCAGCAUCAGUUUGGGCGGUGGGAUAAAGGUCUCUGUCACGUACCUCUCUUCGGGGAAGGCCUUAUAGGGGAAGACGACUUACCACCAGCCUUGGAC